This 1390-nucleotide long non-coding RNA is filed under the name Parus major (Great Tit). RNAcentral describes it as "lncRNA (ENSPMJG00000013524.1)". The record is from RNAcentral. Lineage: Eukaryota; Metazoa; Chordata; Aves; Passeriformes; Paridae.
UGAGGAAGAAGGCGAGUUACAUCACCCCGGUGCCCGGCGGUGUGGGGCCCAUGACCGUGGCCAUGCUGAUGAAAAACACCAUCAUCGCCGCCAAGAAACUGCUGAAACCCAAAGAGCUCGAGGCUCUGCCUGCCUAGGCAGGACUGGCACCUGGGCCUGGCUGGGCUCGCCUCAGGAGCUGGGCCCACCAAGAACUGGGCCUAGCCAGGGCCCACCGAGAGCUGGGCCUAGCUGGGCCUCCCUUGGAUUUGGGGCCUCUCCUUGAAUUCAGGCCUAGCUGGGCCCACCGAGAGCUGGGCCUAGCCAGGCCUCCCUUGGAUCUGGGCCCACCACCGAGAACUGGGCCUAGCUGGGCUCCCCUUGGAUCUGGACCUAGCCAGGCCUCCCUUGGAUUUGGGCCCCUCAGGAUCUGGGCCUAGCUGGACUCCCCUUGGAUUUGGCCCCCCGAGAGCCAGGCCUGGCUGGGCCCCCCUUGGAUUUGGGGCCCCCCCUUGGAUCCAGGACUGUCUGGGCCCCCCAAAAGCCGGGCCUAGCAAGGCCUCCCUUGGAUUUGGGCCCCCGAGAGCCAGGCCUAGCUGGGCCCCCCUUGGAUCUGGGCCUAGCCAGGCCUCCCUUGGAUUUGGGUCCCUCAGGAUCUGGGCCUGGCUGGGCCCCCCAGGAUCCAGGCUUAGCCAGGCCCCCCUUGGAUUUGGGGCCUCCCCUUGGAUCCAGGCCUGGCUGGGCCCCCCAAAAGCCGGGCCUAGCUGGGCUCCCCUUGGAUCUGGGCCCCCCCUCAGGAUCCAGGCCUGGCCAGGGCCUCUCUGCCCACGACAUUCCAGACUGACUCCCGAACAGGCCGAUAGAAAAUGCAAUAUUUCUUAUUUAUUGUCUCGUAUGUGGGGCUGCUCCCUCUCGGAGCUCACAGGUAUUUAUUGGAAUUUGGUGAGAGCUGGGAUUAUCCACACUCCUGCUUUGUUAGAGCUGGGAUUAUCCACAUUUCUGCUUUGUGUCUUUGAGCUGGGAUUAUCCCCAUUUCUCCUGAGCCAGCCCUGCUCCUGCAGGAUCCUCUUGGCAUCCCAGCAAUUCCAGCCUCCAUGGUUUUAUUCUCCAAACCCCAACAUUCCCAAUUUCCUGCUGGAUUUUUAAUUUAAGCUCUCCUGUAGAAGGAAUUACUUGAAAAAAAAACCCUGAAAAUUGAAGCCAUAUUUGUGUAACAUUUUUUAGAGUGCAGCUAGGCUGGGCUUUAUUUCACUCUUUGGAUGGUGAAUUUUUAAAAAUCCUUUUAUUUUCUAACCAAAGAACCACCUUGGGGGUCAGGGGGAGGUUUCCUGCACCGUGUUGUAAAGUGUGAGUGCUCGGUGAGUAGUGCAGGUUAAAUAAAGUGUGAGAAGAGAAAAAUAAAAAAUCCUUU